This is a long non-coding RNA of Cyprinus carpio (common carp), 747 nucleotides long. RefSeq lists it as uncharacterized. The record is from RefSeq and is a predicted model, not a curated record. Lineage: Eukaryota; Metazoa; Chordata; Actinopteri; Cypriniformes; Cyprinidae.
GUGUGCCCCCUCUCCUCCCCCUUUGUAAGUCACGUGACACAACGCAGUUUAAACGUCAGCUGAUGGAAAAAUACUGGAUUUUGUGUGAGCAAACUAAUGUAGUGUCUGCACUGAACAAAGAAUGAGGAAAAAGAAUACAUUGUCCUGAAAUCAAGAAGUCCCAUGCAACUGUAAACUUUGGAAGCUGAGAUAAGUGUGAUGAGGAUUAAAUAAAUUGUAGGUGUUCAUGUUUACCUGACUGCGAGUAAAGUCAGUGCCACAACUUAAGUUUCUUGCUUUCCUUUCUUGCUUCAACCUGCUUUCCAGGAACCACAGGCAAAAUGAUCUGAACCCCAAGAAGCAUGAUGUUCCAGUUUUUUUUUUUUUUUUCAAAAACAAGAUCAAUGUUGAAUACUGUACUGUAGGUUUUUAUGAUAAAACAAUUAGUAUUUAAUGAACAGAGAGUGGGUGCAUUUUCAUAUCUUUUAGAUAAUACUUCACAAAUUGUUUCCUGACCUGUAUGACCUGAAUCAUAUGUUUUUGUUUUGUUAAAUGUUUUUGCACAGGUCAUAAUUUGAGAGUCAUAUGUGUGAGUUGAAACCCCACAAUUAAACAUUGUAACUGCUUUAAAACGGCAAUCAGCAAACGUGCUCUUAUUUUUAGGCUAUGACUUCACUUUGUGUAACAGAAAACUUGACAAUCUUCCUUUCUUUGUUUUCUCAGCUGUUUUGAAUUAUUUUGAGAAAUACAAUAAACCAUUGAAACUUA